Molecule: ribosomal RNA, 391 nt
Filed under: uncultured Lachnospiraceae bacterium
Lineage: Bacteria; Bacillati; Bacillota; Clostridia; Lachnospirales; Lachnospiraceae
Description: bacterial SSU rRNA
Rfam family: Bacterial small subunit ribosomal RNA
Source: RNAcentral
UGGGGAAUAUUGCACAAUGGGGGAAACCCUGAUGCAGCGACGCCGCGUGAGCGAAGAAGUAUUUCGGUAUGUAAAGCUCUAUCAGCAGGGAAGAUGAUGACGGUACCUGGCCAAGAAGCCCCGGCUAACUACGUGCCAGCAGCCGCGGUAAUACGUAGGGGGCAAGCGUUAUCCGGAUUUACUGGGUGUAAAGGGAGCGUAGACGGCAAGGCAAGUCUGAUGUGAAAACCCGGGGCUUAACCGCGGGACUGCAUUGGAAACUGUCUUAGCUGGAGUGCCGGAGGGGUAAGCGGAAUUCCUAGUGUAGCGGUGAAAUGCGUAGAUAUUAGGAAGAACACCAGUGGCGAAGGCGGCUUACUGGACGGUAACUGACGUUGAGGCUCGAAAGCGU